This 497-nucleotide ribosomal RNA is filed under the name uncultured bacterium. RNAcentral's name for it is "partial 16S ribosomal RNA". It matches the Rfam family "Bacterial small subunit ribosomal RNA", at positions 28 to 507 of the family's 1533-position model. The record is from RNAcentral.
GAUGAACGCUGGCGGCGUGCCUAAUACAUGCAAGUCGAGCGAACAGACGAGGAGCUUGCUCCUCUGACGUUAGCGGCGGACGGGUGAGUAACACGUGGAUAACCUACCUAUAAGACUGGGAUAACUUCGGGAAACCGGAGCUAAUACCGGAUAAUAUAUUGAACCGCAUGGUUCAAUAGUGACAGACGGUUUUGCUGUCACUUAUAGAUGGAUCCGCGCCGCAUUAGCUAGUUGGUAAGGGAACGGCUUACCAAGGCGACGAUGCGUAGCCGGCCUGAGAGGGUGAUCGGCCACACUGGAACUGAGACACGGUCCAGACUCCUACGGGAGGCAGCAGUAGGGAAUCUUCCGCAAUGGGCGAAAGCCUGACGGAGCAACGCCGCGUGAGUGAUGAAGGUCUUCGGAUCGUAAAACUCUGUUAUUAGGGAAGAACAAAUGUGGAAGUAACUAUGCACGUCUUGACGGUACCUAAUCAGAAAGCCACGGCUAACUACGUG